GAUUUCUGGUUUGAUGUACCUGUCCCGCCUCGGUAACGGGGUCGAGUGACGGAGUAUGUCUGCCAUCCUUCUAGAGAAUAUAAACUAUCCUUUACUGGACCGGUUUAUAUCAUCUAGAUCUUUUACUUUGAAAAAAUUAGAGUGUUUAAAGCAGGCUUUUGCUAUGAAUACAUUAGCAUGGAAUAAUAAUCUAGGACUUCGGUUCUAUUUUGUUGGUUUCUAUAACUGAAGUAAUGAUUGAUAGGGAUAGUUGGGGGUGCUAGUAUUGGCCGGCCAGAGGUGAAAUUCUUGGAUUCGGUCAAGACUAACUUAUGCGAAAGCAUU
This 324-nucleotide ribosomal RNA is filed under the name uncultured Allapsidae. RNAcentral's name for it is "SSU rRNA". It matches the Rfam family "Eukaryotic small subunit ribosomal RNA", at positions 634 to 955 of the family's 1831-position model. Lineage: Eukaryota; Cercozoa; Glissomonadida; Viridiraptoridae. The record is from RNAcentral.